CUACGGGUCGCUGCAGUGGGGAAUAUUGCACAAUGGGCGCAAGCCUGAUGCAGCCAUGCCGCGUGUAUGAAGAAGGCCUUCGGGUUGUAAAGUACUUUCAGCGGGGAGGAAGGGAGUAAAGUUAAUACCUUUGCUCAUUGACGUUACCCGCAGAAGAAGCACCGGCUAACUCCGUGCCAGCAGCCGCGGUAAUACGGAGGGUGCAAGCGUUAAGCGGAAUUACUGGGCGUAAAGCGCACGCAGGCGGUUUGUUAAGUCAGAUGUGAAAUCCCCGGGCUCAACCUGGGAACUGCAUCUGAUGCUGGCAAGCUUGAGUCUCGUAGAGGGGGGUAGAAUUCCAGGUGUAGCGGUGAAAUGCGUAGAGAUCUGGAGGAAUACCGGUGGCGAAGGCGGCCCCCUGGACGAAGACUGACGCUCAGGUGCGAAAGCGUGGGGAGCAAACAGGAUUAGAUACCCCCGUAGUC
RNAcentral lists this ribosomal RNA (464 nucleotides) under uncultured bacterium. Its description in RNAcentral is "partial 16S ribosomal RNA". It matches the Rfam family "Bacterial small subunit ribosomal RNA", at positions 339 to 795 of the family's 1533-position model. The record is from RNAcentral.